This 252-nucleotide ribosomal RNA is filed under the name uncultured Bacteroidales bacterium. RNAcentral describes it as "partial 16S ribosomal RNA". It matches the Rfam family "Bacterial small subunit ribosomal RNA", at positions 524 to 776 of the family's 1533-position model. Lineage: Bacteria; Pseudomonadati; Bacteroidota; Bacteroidia; Bacteroidales. The record is from RNAcentral.
UACGGAGGAUGCGAGCGUUAUCCGGAUUUAUUGGGUUUAAAGGGUGCGUAGGCGGGCUGUUAAGUCAGCGGUCAAAUGUCGGGGCUCAACCCCGGCCCGCCGUUGAAACUGAUGUUCUUGAGUGGGCGAGAAGUAUGCGGAAUGCGUGGUGUAGCGGUGAAAUGCAUAGAUAUCACGCAGAACUCCGAUUGCGAAGGCAGCAUACCGGCGCGCAACUGACGCUCAUGCACGAAAGCGUGGGUAUCGAACAGG